This 124-nucleotide ribosomal RNA is filed under the name Prolemur simus (greater bamboo lemur). The record is from RNAcentral. Lineage: Eukaryota; Metazoa; Chordata; Mammalia; Primates; Lemuridae.
GUCGACAGCCAUAUCACCCUGAAAGCACCAGAUCUCAUUUGAUUUCGGAAACUAAGCAGGGUCAGGCCUGGUUAGUACUUGGAUGGGAGACCGCCUGGGAUGGGAAUACCGGGUGCUGUAGGCU